This 380-nucleotide ribosomal RNA is filed under the name uncultured soil bacterium. RNAcentral's name for it is "bacterial SSU rRNA". It matches the Rfam family "Bacterial small subunit ribosomal RNA", at positions 26 to 402 of the family's 1533-position model. The record is from RNAcentral.
AGAAUGAACGCUGGCGGCGUGCUUUACACAUGCAAGUCGAGCGAGGCGGCCCGCAAGGGUCAGUCGAGCGGCGAACGGGUGAGUAACGCGUGGAUAACCUGCCCUUCAGCGGGGAAUAACCCGGGGAAACUCGGGCUAAUACCGCAUACGACCGAAAGGUGAAAGGAGGCUCGCAAGAGCUUUCACUGAAGGAGGGGUCCGCGUUCGAUUAGCUUAGUUGGUAGGUAAUGGCCUACCAAGGCGACGAUCGAUAGCCGGCCUGAGAGGGUGAGUCGGCCACACGUAGGACUGAGACACGGUCCAGACUCCGUACGGGAGGACAGCAGGUAGGGGUAAUUUUGCGCGAAGUGGGCGGAGGCCUGACGCAGCGAACGCCGCGU